RNAcentral lists this ribosomal RNA (1345 nucleotides) under uncultured bacterium. RNAcentral describes it as "bacterial SSU rRNA". It matches the Rfam family "Bacterial small subunit ribosomal RNA", at positions 28 to 1381 of the family's 1533-position model. The record is from RNAcentral.
GAUGAACGCUAGCGGGAGGCCUAACACAUGCAAGCCGAGCGGUAUUGUUUCUUCGGAAAUGAGAGAGCGGCGUACGGGUGCGGAACACGUGUGCAACCUGCCUUUAUCUGGGGGAUAGCCUUUCGAAAGGAAGAUUAAUACUCCAUAACAUAUUGAUUGGCAUCAAUUAAUAUUGAAAGCUCCGGCGGAUAGAGAUGGGCACGCGCAAGAUUAGCUAGUUGGUGAGGUAACGGCUCACCAAGGCGAUGAUCUUUAGGGGGCCUGAGAGGGUGAUCCCCCACACUGGUACUGAGACACGGACCAGACUCCUACGGGAGGCAGCAGUGAGGAAUAUUGGUCAAUGGGUGCAAGCCUGAACCAGCCAUCCCGCGUGAAGGACGACUGCCCUAUGGGUUGUAAACUUCUUUUGUAUAGGGAUAAACCUACCCUCGUGAGGGUAGCUGAAGGUACUAUACGAAUAAGCACCGGCUAACUCCGUGCCAGCAGCCGCGGUAAUACGGAGGGUGCAAGCGUUAUCCGGAUUUAUUGGGUUUAAAGGGUCCGUAGGCGGACUUAUAAGUCAGUGGUGAAAGCCUGUCGCUUAACGAUAGAACUGCCAUUGAUACUGUAAGUCUUGAGUAUAUUUGAGGUAGCUGGAAUAAGUAGUGUAGCGGUGAAAUGCAUAGAUAUUACUUAGAACACCAAUUGCGAAGGCAGGUUACCAAGAUAUAACUGACGCUGAGGGACGAAAGCGUGGGGAGCGAACAGGAUUAGAUACCCUGGUAGUCCACGCCGUAAACGAUGUUAACUCGUUUUUGGGCUUUAGGGUUCAGAGACCAAGCGAAAGUGAUAAGUUAGCCACCUGGGGAGUACGCUCGCAAGAGUGAAACUCAAGGGAAUUGACGGGGGCCCGCACAAGCGGUGGAUUAUGUGGUUUAAUUCGAUGAUACGCGAGGAACCUUACCAAGACUUAAAUGGGAAUUGACAGCUUUAGAAAUAGAGCUUUCUUCGGACAAUUUUCAAGGUGCUGCAUGGUUGUCGUCAGCUCGUGCCGCGAGGUGUUAGGUUAAGUCCUGCAACGAGCGCAACCCCUGUCACUAGUUGCCAUCAUUCAGUUGGGGACUCUAGUGAGACUGCCUACGCAAGUAGAGAGGAAGGUGGGGAUGACGUCAAAUCAUCACGGCCCUUACGUCUUGGGCCACACACGUAAUACAAUGGCCGGUACAGAGGGCAGCUACACAGCGAUGUGAUGCAAAUCUCGAAAGCCGGUCUCAGUUCGGAUUGGAGUCUGCAACUCGACUCUAUGAAGCUGGAAUCGCUAGUAAUCGCGCAUCAGCCAUGGCGCGGUGAAUACGUUCCCGGGCCU